Molecule: ribosomal RNA, 663 nt
Filed under: uncultured bacterium
Lineage: Bacteria
Description: bacterial SSU rRNA
Rfam family: Bacterial small subunit ribosomal RNA
Source: RNAcentral
AAUACCAAAUCCCAAAUUCAAAACCUUGAAAAUUAAGAUUUAGAAAUUAUUUGUUCUUUGGCGCUUGUACUUUGGAGCUUCUGUGCAGUGCACAGUAAAGCCUUCGGGCGCUUUAGGAGGGGCCUUUGUCCUAUCAGUUUGUUGGUGAGGUAAUGGCUCACCAAGACGAUGACGGGUAGCUGGAUCGAGAGGUCGACCAGCCAGACUGGGACUGAGACACGGCCCAGACUCCUACGGGAGGCAGCAGUGAGGAAUUUUCCGCAAUGGGCGAAAGCCUGACGGAGCGACACCGCGUGAAGGACGAAGCUUUUCGGAGUGUAAACUUCUUUUAUAUGUGAAGAUUAUGACGGUAACAUAUGAAUAAGCACCGGCUAACUACGUGCCAGCAGCCGCGGUAAUACGUAGGGUGCAAGCGUUAUUCGGAUUUACUGGGCGUAAAGCGUGCGUAGGCGGCUAUAUAAGUUAGAUGUUAAAUUUACGGGCUCAACUCGUAAGCUGCAUCUAAUACUGUAUGGCUCGAGAGUGGAAGAGGCAGACGGAAUUCCUGGUGGAGCGGUAAAAUGCGUAGAUAUCAGGAGGAACACCAAUGGCGAAGGCAGUCUGCUGGGCCAUUUCUGACGCUAAGGCACGAAAGCGUGGGGAGCGAUCGGGAUUAGAUACCCC